GUGCCCAUAGCUCAGCCGGAAGAGCACCUGCCUUCUAAGCAGGUUGUCGGGGGUUCAAGUCCCUCUGGGCAUA
This 73-nucleotide transfer RNA is filed under the name Caudoviricetes sp. RNAcentral describes it as "tRNA-Arg". It matches the Rfam family "tRNA". From Rfam's summary of the family: Transfer RNA (tRNA) molecules are approximately 80 nucleotides in length. Their secondary structure includes four short double-helical elements and three loops (D, anti-codon, and T loops). Lineage: Duplodnaviria; Heunggongvirae; Uroviricota; Caudoviricetes. The record is from RNAcentral.